GCUCGAUAAGAAUCUAGACCCCAAGAUAUCUGACUUUGGCUAGCCAAACAUGAUGAAGAGGACAACACCCAUAUAAGCACCCGAGUUGCCGGAACCCUGUGAGCCUGCUCUCUAAGUAUUUGACUGAAAAAGAGCCAUCCACCAUAAGAUUUAAGUCUUUUGAAUAGAACUCAGUCUAAGCUGUUUGAUAUAUGGGUUAUUUUUGCAGCGGGUAUAUGGCUCCUGAAUAUGCAAUGCGGGGUUAUUUGACUGACAAAGCAGAUGUCUACAGUUUUGGAAUCGUUGCCUUGGAAAUUGUCAGUGGGAAGAGCAAUACUAGUCAUCGAACAAAGGAGGACACUGUUUAUCUUCUUGAUUGGGUAGAAAGAGUUUCUCUCGCCGUCUUGAUUUAUUUAUUUUUAUUAUUAUUAUCAAUAUUGUACAUAAUUAUAUAUAUCCAUCUUGUUUUCUAGGCAUUGGUUUUUGUUAGACAAUUGACAUUUUUUAACUCUAGUGUUUCAUGUUGUUUAAUUGUUAUUUAAUCAAGUAUUGUCUGUUUUCUUUUCUUUCAUUUCUGUUUUGAUUUUGUCAAAGUAAAUCCCUUGUUUUUCUGAAGUUGUUGCUAAGAUUAGUGGCAGCAUAUUGUCCACUACAGUUAGUGGCUAGUGACAGCACAUUGUCCACUACAGUUAGUGGCUGAUAACUAGGGAGGUUUGUUAAGUUUUCUCAUGUAUUUAAAGACAUGCAGUUAAUGAAAUACUCACUGAGACAUUUUAUCAAACACCUUGUGUGUAAUUCGUGUUCUUCAAUAUCCAGCAUUGUUGUUCUUGAUUGUGCAUCCCUUCACCUGCACAAAACACAUUAACACAAUUCUUAACAGUGGUAUCAGAGCAUCUCAGAUCUUACAGGACCAAAACACCUUUUUUCAAAAUCUCAAAAAUGACAUCCAACAACUUACUUUUAAACUCCCCCAUUAUAUUGGCGAAAACUACCAUAUUUGGUCAGUGAAGAUGCAAGCUUUUCUUGAAGCUUAUGAUCUUUGGGAAAUUGUUUCCGAAGACAAACCAGUAGCUCCCUUACCAACAAAUCCCACUAUGGCUCAAAUCAAGUUCAGCAGUGAGGAAAAGGCAAAGAAAUCCAAGGCAAAAUCAAUCAUCCAGAAUUCUGUGGCAGAAAGCAUUUUCUACAGAAUUAUGGCAUGCAAUUCAGCCAAAGAGGCUUGGAACAAACUAAAAGAAGAAUACCAAGGCAGUGACAGAACAAGGCAAAUGCAAGUGCUGAAUUUGAAGAGAGAUUUUGAGGCACUUAACAUGCAAGAAGAUGAAACAAUCUCCAAGUAUUCUGAUCGAAUUUCACUAAUUAUCAACAACAUCAGAUUACUUGGAGAAGACUUUCCUGACAGUAGGAUUGUGGAGAAGGUUCUUGUGACUCUUCCUGAGAGGUUUGAAUCCAAAAUCUCCUCUCUAGAAGAAUCAAAGGACCUCAGUAAAAUCUCAUUAGGUGAACUAAUGAGUGCUCUUCAAGCACAGGAGCAACGAAGAACAAUCAGGCAAGACAGAUUGACUGAAGGAGCCUUUUAUGUGCAAAAAACAAGCUGGAAAAGGAAAGAAGUUGCCUAAUCUGAGAUUCAAAGGCAGAAAUGAAGGGGGCAGCACUAGUGAAGCUUCAAAACAAAAGAAGUUUCCUCCUUGCACUCACUGCAAAAGAAACACACAUUCAGAAAAAUAUUGUGGUGGAGGCCAGAUGCAAUUUGUGGAAAUUGCAAGCAAUCAGGGCACAUCACAAAGGUCUGCAAGUUUAAAAACUCAGAUCCAAAACCUCAACAAGCUCACCUAGCAGAUGAAGUUGAUACACAGGAGGAGCAAUUCUUUGCUGUCACUUGUUUCUCAACAAAUGAUCCAGCUGAUACUUGGCUUAUUGACAGUGGAUGCACACAUCAUUUGUGCAAUGAUGCUGGAAUGUUCAAAACCCUUGAUGAAUCUUACAAAUCCAGAGUAAAGGUUGGCAAUGGAGAAUUUCUGGAGGUCAAAGGCAGAGGGUCAGUAAAUGUUCAAACAAGUUCAGGUAUCAAAAUCAUUCCUGAUGUGUUAUUUAUACCUGAAAUCAGUCAAAAUUUGUUGAGUGUUGGACAAAUGAUGGAGAAAAACUAUUCUCUUCAGUUUAAGGAUCAUAAAUGCAUUAUCUUUGAUCCUUCUGGAGAACAAGUGUUCUGUGUAAAGAUGAAAAACAGAAGCUUUGUUGUUGACUGGGAUAAAGUAUCCAAUCAUGCAUAUGUGAGUGCUACUCAGGAUGUUCAAAUCUUUGGCAUAAAAGAUUUGGACAUUUCAAUCAAAAGGGCUUGUCAAUUCUGAAACAAAAGGAAAUGGUUGAAGCAUUGCCCACAUUGAAUGGUGAGAUUCAAUUGUGUGAAACAUGUCAACUUGGCAAGCAAUCAAGGCCACCAUUUCCUAAAAGGCAAGCAUGGAGAGCCAGCCAAAAACUUCAGCUCAUCCACACUGACGUGUGUGGACCUAUGAAGACAGCCUCAUUAUGUGGUAACAAGUAUUUCAUUCUCUUUAUUGAUGAUUAUACUAGGAUGUGUUGGGUGUAUUUCAUCAAAUUUAAGAGUGAAGUAUUUACAAUCUUUCAAACAUUCAAAGCUUUAGUUGAGAAUCAAAGUGACAUGCUAAUUAAAUGCUUAAGAUCUGACAAUGGUACUGAAUAUACCUCAAAUCAGUUUCUUGAGUAUUGCAACAGCAGAGGCAUUGUGCACCAGUACACCACACCAUACACACCACAACAAAAUGGUGUAUGUGAGAGGAAGAACAGGACAGUAAUGGAGAUGGCUAGAUGUCUCUUACUUGAAAAGAAAAUGCCAAACAAAUUAUGGGCAGAGGCAGUCAAUACCUCUGUUUACUUGCUGAACCGACUUCCAACCAAAGCACUGAGGACAAGACACCAUACGAAGGCUGGAAUGGUGUUAAACCUGCUGUAGAUCAUCUUCGAAUCUUUGGCAGCAUAUGCUAUUAUCAUAUAGCUGAGCCAAAGAGGAGCAAACUUGACAACAAAGCUCAGAAGGGAGUUCUUGUGGGUUAUGGAAUAACAACCAAAGGAUACAGAAUUCUUUGCUUACAAACAGAGAAGGUAAUUCUCAGCAGAGAUGUGAAGGUUGAUGAAGCAAUCACAUGGGAUUGGGAACAUCAGAAAAAUAUGAUUUCUGAUCAACCAUUCACCAUUCAGCCUCAGCUGGUAGCUGAUGAAUCAGUGGAUGAUUUUCCAGUUAGAGGCACAAGAUCAUUGGAAGAUAUUCACCUAAGAUGCAACAUGGCAAUUCUAGAACCAACCAGCUAUACUGAAGCUCAAGAAUUUCCAGCAUGGAGGAGAGCAAUGGAGGCAGAAAUGGAAAUGAUCAACAAAAAUGCAACAUGGCAGCUGAUUGAAAGGCCUAAGCAUCGCAAGGUGAUAGGUGUAAGAUGGGUUUUCAAAACAAAACUCAAUUCAGAUGGGUCAAUAUGCAAACACAAGGCUAGAUUGGUGGUAAAGGGCUAUGCUCAGCAAUAUGGUGUGGACUACCUAGAGACCUUUGCUCCAGUAGCAAGGUAUGAUACUAUUAGACUUCUCAUUACACUUGCAGCACAUAACUCUUGGCAGAUUCACCAACUUGAUGUCAAGUCUGCCUUCUUGAAUGGAUUUCUUGCUGAAGAAAUCUUUGUAGAGCAACCCGAUGGGUAUGCUGUUAAAGAUAAAGAAGAUCAUGUGUAUCUACUUAAGAAGGCCUUGUAUGGGUUGAAACAAGCUCCCCGAGCUUGGUAUGACAGAAUGGACACACAUUGCUUCAACUUGGGUUCAGCAGAAGCCAAAAUGAAGCAACUUUGUAUGUGAAAUCCUGUGGUAACCAUUUUCUAAUUGUAUCUAUUUACGUAGAUGAUAUGCUCAUCAUAAGAAGUGAACUUGGAAUGAUCCAAGAGUUCAAAGAUGAAAUGAAGAAGAUGUUUGAGAUGUCUGACCUUGGAAUGAUGAAUUACUUCCUUGGAAUGGAAGUGAUGCAAUCCAGCAAUGGCAUUUUUACAUGCCAAAAGAAGUAUGCUUCAGACAUCCUAAAAAGAUUCAAAAUGGAGGAUUGUAAACCAGUGGGGACUCCUAUGACAACAAGUAUCAAGCUUAGCAAGGAUGAUGAAUCUGAAAAAGUGGAUGAAAGUUUGUAUAGAGGCUUAAUUGGGAGCCUUCAAAUAUCUCACAACAAGUAGACCUGACAUAUUGUUUGUUGUGAGUAUUCUUUCAAGGUUCAUGCAUUCUAGGGAGACUCAUUUUAUUGCAGCAAAAAAGGAUACUUAGAUACAUCAAAGGUACCAUUGAUCUUGGUAUUUUCUGUCCAAGAUCAUCAGAAGGGGUUGUGGAACUAAAAGGCUAUACUGACAGUGACUGAGGAGGCUGUGUUGAUGAUUCAAGAAGCACUUCAGGGUAUUUAUUCUCACUCAAUUCAGGUGUUUUCACCUGGAGUUCAAAGAAGCAAGAGACAACAACUCAAUCCACUGCAGAAGCAGAGUACAUUGUUGUUGCCGCUGCUGUCAACCAAGCAAUUUGGUUGAGGAAAAUGUUAAAGGAUUUGGGACAUGAACAGGUUGAACUACUAAAAUCAUGUGUGAUAACAGUUCUGCAGUAUCAAUUUCUAAGAAUCCAGUCUUUCAUGGACGUACAAAGCAUAUCAAAAUCAAGUUUCAUUUUAUUAGAGAAGUUCAACAAUCUAAUGAAGUGAUGCUGAUUCAUUGUUCUUUCGAAGAACAACUUGCAGAUAUAUUUACCAAACCACUACCUAAAGAGAGAUUUGAGACAUUAAGACAAAUGAUUGGAAUUUAUCGUCAAAAUGUCAAGGAGGAGUGUUAGACAAUUGACAUUUUUUAACUCUAGUGUUUCAUGUUGUUUAAUUGUUAUUUAAUCAAGUAUUGUCUGUUUUCUUUACUUUCAUUUCUGUUUUGAUUUUGUCAAAGUAAAUCCCUUGUUUUUCUGAAGUUGUUGCUGAGAUUAGUGGCAGCAUAUUGUCCACUAUAGUUAGUGGUCAGUGACAACACAUUGUCCACUACUGUAGUUAGUGGCUGAUAACUAGGGAGGUUUGUUAAGUUUUCUCAUGUAUUUAAAGACAUGCAGUUAAUAAAAUACUCACUGAGACAUUUUAUCAAACACCUUGUGUGUAAUUCGUGUUCUUCAAUAUCCAGCAUUUUUGUUCUUGAUUGUGCAUCCCUUCACCUGCACAAAACACACAAAACACAGUAACACAAUUCUUAACAGUUUUG
This 5249-nucleotide long non-coding RNA is filed under the name Populus tremula. Its description in RNAcentral is "long non-coding RNA (PTRE_LNC000287)". Lineage: Eukaryota; Viridiplantae; Streptophyta; Magnoliopsida; Malpighiales; Salicaceae. The record is from RNAcentral.